This is a long non-coding RNA of Equus asinus (donkey), 2356 nucleotides long. NCBI's taxonomy places the organism in Eukaryota, Metazoa, Chordata, Mammalia, Perissodactyla, Equidae. The record is from Ensembl.
AGACUUGAAACUGAAGAACCUGGCGAUCUGGAAAUGCCAAUGGUGCAGACGAAAAAGCGCCAACAGAAUACUGCUCUCUCUAGCUGAAGGGCCAGGAAAGUGCCUUAUCCGUGCUCUCUGCUGUGCCUGGACUCCUCAAGUCUGGCCCUCUCUGGUUCAAUUGCUCCAGAGAAUAAACCUCCUGAGCACUCCUGUCAGGGAAGAUUUAAAGAAUUCCGAAACAAGGGCUGUCUCUUCUCUAGUUGGCCCGAAGUGGAAGUGACCAUCUUUUCCAGGGGGAACGCGGCUGCUUGGUAUACCCAGGGUUUACAUUUUAUGACUUCAAGCAUUAGGGACCAGCUCUCCAUCUUCCUUCCUAUCUAAGACCCAAAUUCCAGGAUGGGACUCAUUCGCCCCAACUGAGUGAGGUGCCCAGCUUGGACCACAGCUGGAAGGCAUUUAUAAAUCUCAGUUCCCUCAUUUUACAGAAGAGGAAUCUAAGAGGAUGAAUAACUUGACCAAGGUCACAUGAUGAGGAAACUGAGAGAUGCCAAGGUUAAGUGAAUUGCUUAAGAUCACAUGGUUGGCCAAUGGCAGAGCUGAGAUUGAAAGCUUCUGGGUCUGGACUCAUAAUCACUGCAUCACGCUGCUUCAGUGGAAGAAAAAGUUCUGUAUACAAAGCUGCUUGUAGCAUCAUCGUUUAUAAUUGGAGAACACAGAAGCUUGGAGAAGUUGCGUAACGGGCCCCAGGUCACACAAUUAAAAUGGAAGGGCCAAGACGUAUACCCAGAUCUGUCUGAAUCCAGAGAUCAAGCUGUUCAUCAUACUGAUGGGAAGUCAUCUGCUGUGUUGUGAGCAACCCUAUGGAGAGGCCCAUGCGGCGAGGUGCUGAGACAUCCUUGUAACCGCCAGUGAGAAACCGAGGCCUCUUGUCAACAGCCAUGUGAGUGAGCCUCCUUGGGAGCAGAUUGAGCCCCAUUCACGCCUUCAGAGAACUGCAGCCUAGGAGACAUCUUGACUGCAACCUCAACUUCAAAUACUGACCAGAAUCACCUGCAUAAGCUGCUCCCAGAUUCCUGACCCUCAAAACAAUGUGAAAUACUAAAUAUUCUUGUUUUCAAGCUGCCAAGUUUGAGAUACUUUGUUACAGGACAAUAGAUAACUGAGACAAACCUCAACAUCCUAAAUGGACUGGAUCUCCUUUCAAAGAGUACAAAGUAUAAAAUCUUUUAUAGGGCGAGGAUCUGAGAAUAAUGAUCCUAUUGGUAGGAGUUAAACUACUAGAGGAACUCAUCAAAAAUUUGUUCUAUUCCUCUGAUGACAUAGUAAAUAAUACAGACCAAACUAUAGGUUACAACAAACCAGUUUCAAUUCCUUAAAUCAAGUAGUCAGAGAUAAUAAAAUGGCCUUGGAUUUCUUCUUGCCAACCAGAGAAGAUUCUGGACCACUGCUCACACUAUAUACUGUACCUAAACACCACAAAUGAAUUGGAGUAAUCUACACCUAAGCUAGAAUAAAAGACAACAUAGGAUCUAAAAUAGACUCGGAGAAUCUUGGAGACUUGUUUUCAUGACUCGAUCUGGGAAUUUGGGAUCAUGGUUCUGAAAUGUCUUCCAGUCCUGUCCGUUUACACUCGUCUCACUGUUGCUAAAGGUGUAUUUUCCAGAGUCUUAAAUGCUUUUGUGCAGCCACUGUCCUGACAGAGGAUUCAACAAAUGAUUCAAAGACAAUAAAAAAUGGAAUAAAAUCAUGCCAGCAGACGUGUACACUGAAAAUAAAAUCUCCAUUGAUGAAACCUCACCUUCAAGGAAAAUCAACAGCAUAGUAAGGAUCUUCACAAUCCUCGAAGGUCUCUCCUGCAGCUUAGAUUGAAUGAGGAUCAAAAGGAGGGACUGAAAAUAACGAAGUUCCCAUAGACUUAGGAAAAGACUGAUUUUUGCUGUAGCAAAGGUAACAAGUAGCCACAAGACCCAGUUUUAAACCCGUUUGGUUGAUCAGGAAUAAGUUUCGUCAGUAAGCCCCUCACGAAAGUCAGCCUCUCAGGGCAGACUCAGUCCAAGAAGCACACCUCUGCGAGCCAGCUGAUGAACACAGUCUCACCUGAGCAGCCGUGGAUGGACCACAGAUGAUGUCAACCCACUGACACCCCUGGCAGUCUGGCAUUUCCCGGCACUCCAUGCUCCCUCCAAAUGAAGACUCUCUGUAAGGGCUACAGUUUGCUCUACUUGGAGAGACUGUGCCUGACCAGCACGGCCCCCUUUGCUGUAGUAAACAAUACAUUGAGCUUUGCCUUUUUAUGUCACGUGUUGAGUGGUGGUUUCAUCAUCCUUUGGCAAAAUCUCCUGAUUCUUUUAACAUUUUUUUAACCUCUUCCAUU